AUAAAUUGUUCUUGCUUAUUGUGCCAUUCUCAUUUUUUAAUAUUUUUAUAAAUAUAUAUUUCUGUCACUUGCAUUUAAUAUCACUUUUUUGAGAAAUAAGCGUCUGUCAUUACCAUCAGAGCUCUCAUUCAAAUGGAACCGGACCUCUUUCUCAGAUGGAAAGGGAUGAUCAACACGUAGCAUAAUGUAAACCAAAACCAACCAAAACUUGCUUUCAGCAUCUUUUCUACAAAACACAUAGCAUACGCACCAAAGGACACGAUUGGACGAUGACCGACGUGUGGCAAACAUGGGUAAAAGCGUCAUCUCACUGUACCAAGCAGUAAGACCACAGGAAACAAAGAAGACACUAAGGGGCAUUUUAGCCAUUACACUGCUCGUAAACAGUAUUUUCCACCGGGUUUUAGUAUAUAGAUAAUUUCUUCCAAUUCCUAAUUUAGACAGAAUCAACGCCUAUUCUUCUUUGGCUGGGCUUUCUUCGGGUUUCUGUUGCAAGAAAGAACACCAAGGGCUUUUGAGGAUAACCAUGAUCAAUAGGUAAUUUAUGCAAGUAAUUUUCUUCUUUGUCGACAUCUCGAACCACGGAUGCGCGUUGUCCUAUUUCAGUAACCAAUGGUCUUCUUCUCUGCGGAACAAAGGCACCAGUUUAGGUGGACUUUGCUUCUUCUUCUUCUUUAUUGUCAGCAACCCAUCUUCUUCUUAACUCCAAAACGACGGCUGCGAUGGGUUUGUUUUUUCUUUGCUAGAAGCAUCCUUCUUUGUGGUGUGACUUCUGUCUCCGACUUUGUGCCAAAUUCUUCGAAAUGAGCUCCUAAAACGGAGCAGCAGCAACCAUUUCAACUUCAGCAGCCAUUGCGGUUGUUGUUCUCACGGCAGAGGACUUCGUUCAUGACCACCUUAUUUUAUGCCGUAGGUGAGAAAAUGGAUCAUGCUGUGUCGUUGGGCUUGCAGAUCGGAGGAUGACGUGACUGUUGUUGCCGUCGGUGUUGUUGAAGUGGUGGUGUUCGGCGGCGCUCUCUCUGGGCAGAGAGGUAAGAUGCAAAUAGGUUGGGCAAAGAUGCUUGGUGGCGCUCUCGUACAUACGUGGCUGCUAUUGCCUCAUUUCGGAAACCGCCCUUGCAUCGUUGAUGAAUUUCAGAACCAUUGUUAGGCACAAUGGGUAGGCAUUGUUCCUCCAUGAAAAUCAGACUUCCAAACUUCUUUGGGCACCACAGGUUGUAGGGUGCUGAUGACGGCGAAAGCGCAGCGACGGUAAUGCUUUUCUUUGUUGAUGCCGCUGCUGGUACUAGGAUCUUGACGAAGGAUUGUAGAGAAGUCGAAGGUGUCGACAACGUGGCAGCGGCGGCUGUUGAUCCCAUAUAGGCUUCCGUCUGACGUUGGCGGUUGCUAGCGUAUAGGUUCGUGUUGCUGGCCAAAGUUUACUCAAGAUGACACUUGCCUACAAAAUAAAUUUACUGGAGAGAAAAUGAAGAGACAAGAAACAUAGGUUUUGUACCUUCUGAUUGUUGCUUGUAGUUUGCUCUGCUUCCUUGAAAGACUUGGUUUGAAAUCGCAGGUAAGGGAAUUACUUCGUCUUCUUUCCCAGCAGUACUUCGUUGCUUCUUUCCUCUCUCAAUUCCUCUCUCAAUUUCUACAGCGUACCUCCUCUUGUUUUUUUCUUCCCAAUUUUCUUUGGAUUAAUGCCUUUUAGGCGAACGGUGGAAACAGAAGUUGUGGUUAGUGGGUGAGUGCUACCACGUACUCUGUGGGAUAUCCGUAUAAAACCACCCACGUCUCUAGGUGUGAAGGGAUUUUAUUAUCCCACUUUUUAUAUAUAUGGGAUAGAUCAAGGGACAAAUAUUUUUACAAAUACUUUUACACUUUUUUUUAAGUCUUUUGAUUACAUGACAUCUAAUGGUUCUUAUUUAUUCAUUAAAUGACAUGCUUAUAUGGAUUUUAACUAAUAUUAAAGAUAAAAUAAAAUUAAAAAUAAAAAUAAAAUCUGGAAAAUUAAAAAUAUAAUUAAAAAAGGAAGAUAAUUUAACUGAAUUGGUUCUUCCAUUCCCAUUUCGAUCAAGACUUGGAUUCAGACUUUGUAUUUUCUUUCAUCUUUAGUUCCCGAUUACUUGAAUUUUAUAUUUUCUGAGAUCAGUUCCAGUUGGAGCGAGUUCAAAUGCUGGAAAGAAGCAUUUAUGGAUGACUCUUGAAUGACUCCAUCAAUAUAUGGGUUCAAUUACAAAGGAGACAUUUGCAGGUGAAUGUGCUUAUUUUCAACUGGGUUUAUGAACAUUUUAAUGAGAGACUGAGAAUCUUGCUGGAUGAAACACGCACUCCCUCUUUUACAUCUGAAAACCCACAAACCCCUAAAAUCGCUAACCUUCAAGAACGAUUUGGACUGCCAUGUUAUGGACUUCCAAGAGAUUAAAAGCAUAAAAGUAAAAAAGGGCAUUUCAGAGAUGAAGCAUCAGGCCACGGCAUCGCAAUAUUCUAAUUGGGUUUCUACUGCAGUUUUAUUUUAAUUUUGUUUUGGUUUUGGAUUGCUUUGCGAUAUUUGCGGUUUCCGAUUGACUCUCUUGGAUUGUUUUUUGUGACAUACAGUUUUACUUUUAUUUUCAGAGCCUUUGUUAGAGAUGAAAAUUUGAAUAAGAAGAAGACGGCAAGGAAUUUCUAAGUAAUUUUUUCGUUUCUUUUUUAUUUUUCUGAAUAGAUUAUUUUUUUAGUCUAUGAUUGGAUGCAAGUGUUCCCAAGCAAAUACUGAAAAUUUUAAUCACUUUCUUAAAUUUAUGUCCAUUUUAUAUACUGAUCUAUUUGUAAAAAGUUAAUUUGAUAACAAUGUAAAGUAGUGUAUUUAUAUGUGAAUUUGUUA
This is a non-coding RNA of Malus domestica (apple), 2845 nucleotides long. The record is from RefSeq and is a predicted model, not a curated record. Lineage: Eukaryota; Viridiplantae; Streptophyta; Magnoliopsida; Rosales; Rosaceae.